RNAcentral lists this ribosomal RNA (497 nucleotides) under uncultured bacterium. RNAcentral's name for it is "partial 16S ribosomal RNA". It matches the Rfam family "Bacterial small subunit ribosomal RNA", at positions 28 to 507 of the family's 1533-position model. The record is from RNAcentral.
GAUGAACGCUGGCGGCGUGCCUAAUACAUGCAAGUCGAGCGAACGGACGAGAAGCUUGCUUCUCUGAUGUUAGCGGCGGACGGGUGAGUAACACGUGGAUAACCUACCUAUAAGACUGGGAUAACUUCGGGAAACCGUAGCUAAUACCGGAUAAUAUUUUGAACCGCAUGGUUCAAAAGUGAAAGACGGUCUUGCUGUCACUUAUAGAUGGAUCCGCGCUGCAUUAGCUAGUUGGUAAGGUAACGGCUUACCAAGGCAACGAUGCAUAGCCGACCUGAGAGGGUGAACGGCCACACUGGAACUGAGACACGGUCCAGACUCCUACGGGAGGCAGCAGUAGGGAAUCUUCCGCAAUGGGCGAAAGCCUGACGGAGCAACGCCGCGUGAGUGAUGAAGGUCUUCGGAUCGUAAAACUCUGUUAUUAGGGAAGAACAUAUGUGUAAGUAACUGUGCACAUCUUGACGGUACCUAAUCAGAAAGCCACGGCUAACUACGUG